RNAcentral lists this transfer RNA (72 nucleotides) under Penaeus japonicus. Its description in RNAcentral is "tRNA-Pro". It matches the Rfam family "tRNA". Rfam says of the family: Transfer RNA (tRNA) molecules are approximately 80 nucleotides in length. Their secondary structure includes four short double-helical elements and three loops (D, anti-codon, and T loops). Lineage: Eukaryota; Metazoa; Arthropoda; Malacostraca; Decapoda; Penaeidae. The record is from RNAcentral.
GGCCUGAUGGUCUAGGGGUAUGAUUCUCGCUUAGGGUGCGAGAGGUCCCCGGUUCAAAUCCCGGUCAGGCCC